This 260-nucleotide long non-coding RNA is filed under the name Mytilus galloprovincialis (Mediterranean mussel). The record is from RNAcentral. Lineage: Eukaryota; Metazoa; Mollusca; Bivalvia; Mytilida; Mytilidae.
CCUCGAUAUAUAAUAAUCCUGAUUGUUCAAUUUAUCAAACAACAAUACUUUGAAUAGUAUUUGUUCCAACACAUAUUUCCAUUCAGUUAUUUAGACUGUUUUAUAUGAAUAAACGAGAUUAAACUAGACCACAUUUCGUUAACUGUUGACUGGAUUAAGCAUGUUAGGCGAUGUGUCUGAUUUAUAUUUAGCUGAAAAUCCCCACAUAAUAAAUUCCCACCCCUCGUCGUACUCUGAAUAUGUAGGUUCAAAUAAUAAAG